UUAUAGUUUUCCUAUAGAUUUUAGUGAAGAGCAUUUAACCUAUCUUCAACUUAGUUUGAUGUGAAUGAAGUUACGAGAAAUUUAAUCUCUUCGAGGGACACUAUAAGCAUCGAAAGACAUCGUUAUAUAUACAUAAUAGUUUCAAAGUAGUGAUUGUCGAGUAAAAUGGAAUAUUGUCAAGUGUUUCGAGUUUUUAAUUUUUUUUCUUUCUCUGUACUUUUACUUUUUUAAUUUUAAUUUAUUUAAAGAAACUAAACAUAUGUGCAAUGUGGUCAAAGAGGUUAAACGGUGGAAUUAGAAGAUAUUUGUACAGCUUUUCAUGGACAAGCAAAAGAUUUUAUAAAAAUUCAUUGAAAUUGUAAAACGGAUAAUAUUAAUAAAACGAUGGACGAUGAAUAGCAACUUUGGACACUUCACUCGGAAAAAUUCUCGCCGUCGUAGAAAUUGAUGGAAAAUUCGAACACGUUCUAUAUCGUUACGGGAAGAGGAGAGAUUUAUGGAACGCAUUCCUACGAGCGACUCACUCCCAAAAGCAAUAUUCCCUCGAAAUAUCGAGGUAAGGAGGGGUCGAAGGUCCGCAGCAAGAAACGAACGUCGCACGCUGCGUGUCGCUGGUCCGCGUGGCUUGUAAGAAAGAAGAGGAAGAAUGGGAAAAGACGAGCGGAGGGUGGCGAUCGAUAGCCAAACUCCUCGCUUCUACAGUAGAUAAGAAAACACGCGUUAUAUGCAUAGACUCUGGCUCGCUUUCGCGAUUCCUGAUACUGGAAACUGCCGCUUGCAACGAAUAGCUGAUAUCUGCACGAGAUAAGACGAAUUGCCUGGAAGCCGGUAGUAAAACGGAAAGAGGACAACCCUUUGACUAGUGGAACUGGUUGUUGUCGGAUGGGAAUCUCCUUUGGCCUUUGAGGUUGCUGGACAAGUUGGAUUCACAGGUGCUUAGAAGUGGAAAGGGAUGAAGAAGUGGUUAAGGGUUUUGAAGAUUGUUUUGUUUAUGUGGGGAGCUUUAAAAGUUGGUUCAAUUGGUUAGAAAUGGUUAUUGAUGGCCUUAAAGGUUACAUAUGAGAAUUUUCUUUGAAUUUUGAAG
This is a long non-coding RNA of Apis laboriosa (Himalayan honeybee), 1084 nucleotides long. RefSeq lists it as uncharacterized. NCBI's taxonomy places the organism in Eukaryota, Metazoa, Arthropoda, Insecta, Hymenoptera, Apidae. The transcript is spliced from 3 exons. The record is from RefSeq and is a predicted model, not a curated record.